Molecule: unclassified non-coding RNA, 5393 nt
Filed under: Ceratitis capitata (Mediterranean fruit fly)
Lineage: Eukaryota; Metazoa; Arthropoda; Insecta; Diptera; Tephritidae
Description: uncharacterized LOC101455007, transcript variant X3
Source: RNAcentral
UUAAAUUUGAGACAUUUAAAAUUAAAGUAUUCGACCAUAAAAUUAGUAGCGCAGUACUAAAGUUGUGCAACACUGUCUUUUAGUAUGUUUUGGGAGUGUCUUUCUAUUCAUUCACUCUCCUCAUUCAGCUAUGUGAAUGUAUUGGUUAAAGGGGCAACGAUGGUUUCGCCCGCGCGAUUGUUUUGGUACAUGCACAAAGAGCAAAAUAAAAACAAUUUGUCUUCUGACGUCGAUGGUUACGGCGGCAAUAACGAUUGAAAAAUUUGACGUUUCCUGUGUAGUUAAUGUGGCUCUUAUUUGCUAGUUUUGUGCAGUAUUUACACAUUUAUUUGGAAAAAAGACUUUAAAUUAAAUUAUCAAUAUAUUUGUUAAAACAAAAACGACAAAAUCUAUGUGUAAGGUGAAUAUUAGUUUUAAAUACAUGUGAAAAUUCGAUGGCUAGAAUGAACAGUGAAACGUGUGAUGUGAGAUGAUACAAAACAGGCCAGACGACGCAGCUGCAUAAAGUGGUACAUAAAAACAAGAAGGGCGACGUCGACGCUUACAAAUAGCUAUAUCAAAAUGAGAAAAUGGCAAAACGAAAAUAUAAACAGUAGAAAUAAGAAAGAUGAUGAUGAUGAUCGUAUAAAUGAUAAUGACCAUAAUGGGGCUGUGUUUGUCGUUGCGUUGUUACGGAUGAUGAAUGCCAAUCAGUUAUGGAGCAGGAAAUGUAAACGUGCUAUAAAGUGUGUGUAUGUAUACACGCAAGUUCCAAGACCAAAAUGUGAAGUAGUUUUAACGGUUUCUUUGGACGGGCAAUCACUGAUGCGGUUUUUACUUUGUUCAAAGCGUUUUAUUUAUGUUUCUUCUUCUAUCUUACUUCGGUGUCAAUGUACUUAAGAAUGUUCGGUAUAUUUACAGAAAUUAUUAACGUGAAAAUAAUAAAUUGCAAAAAUCACAGUACCAAGAUAAAGUGUUUACAUACAUUGAGAACAUUUACACUACAUACACGUAUAAGCAUAAAAGAGAACAGGCCAAUCGCGACUACUCACGAAAGAGCGGGGAAGUAUAUAAGAAACUCUGUUAUUUUGGACAUGUCAUGUCAGCAAGUAUCACGACUCACUACAACAACAGCAAAAGAAGAUUUAUCUGAAGAUCAGGAUCCGUAUGUGUUCACAGAAACAGUGCCAACCACGCCACCCAUUUUAUUUAACGCUCAGAAAUCGCGAAGCCGAGUUUUUGUAGACACGCAAGCAAUAACAACAACACCACCAAUACCAAUACAAACAUUAUCACCAACACCAGCUGCUGUAGCAACAGCAACUACAAUAGCGCCAACCAUAGCAGCACCAACGCCUGCGACAUUAACGCUCGUCACAGCUGCCGCCAAUAAGCGACAAACCACGCCAACAGUUACAACCAACAACCACGCAAAAUUAAAAUUCAAUCAGAAACUGCCAUUGGGACCGUUGAAUGGCAAUAAUACAAAAACGCAGGCGACAACGACGUUGGCUGCUGCAACGGGCCAUAAUGGGUCCACAGCAGCGGCAACGUCAAAAGUCGUUUCGCCUACAACUGUGAAAAUGACAAAUUCGCAAUCUCAAUCUCACAAGCAGCAGCAGCAGCAGCAAAGGAAAGCUCUAAAUGUAUGUAUAGUGCGACCUCAGCAGCAGCAGCAGCAGCAACAACAACAUCAUCUUACUCCGACUUUGCGACAGCAACAGCACUAUAAAGGGCAACAGCAGCAGCAGCGAAAGCAAUCAGCUUCACCGCCGCCGCUGCUACAACACACGCCAUCAUUAUGGCAGACACCGUUGCUGUUGGACACAACCUCUGCAGUGGUUAGCCCACCGACAUCACCCGCUUCAAUGUCCUCACCAACAGUUGAAACUAGCAUAACACCCACUUCAGUAACGUUGUCCACAGCAGCAGCUACGGCUAUGGUAAGCCCGUUGAUUACUGUAUCGGCUACACCAUUACCACCAUCCAAAUUCCAUCACAACACAUUGGCACAGCAUUUACAGAAAGUCGAAUGCAUUAAAAAGCCAAAGAAAUCAAUUGUUGGCGUCGAUGGCAUAAAUAGCAAACAAGUGGUGCAGUUUGCACCACACCAAUAUAAUCAGGAGCAAGAUGUUUUGCUUAAACAACAUCAGCAACAGCCACAGUUGAUGUUGCAGCAACAACACUUAAAUGAAGUAGGCGCCAAAACUGUAGUAGUGCAACCUACAUCAACCCUCACGAAUACACAUUUGUCCCAACAGUCCCAAACACAAAUGCAGAUGCAAAAGCCAUACGUGAUGGCCACAUCUUCAGCACCGCCACCGUUGCAGGCAAUUCAGGCGGUUACACCACCACAACAUUCCGAUUCCGAUUUGAAUGAGAUUCCAGUAAAUGUUAUAUUUCGUAAGCCUCAAGCCUCGGGUGAAAGACUUCAUACGCAACUCAGUGGCAAUGUAAAUGUUAGUGCAGCGGGUACUAACAGCGACAAAGUCAAUGCAAAGGUAAACAGUAAUAGAAGCUCAGCACAGGAGGCAGCCAAAAAAAUUUCAACAAAUAUAAAACCGAAAAAUAUGCGCAUUAUACCAUCCAUUGCUCAGCCGAAGAGAAAGUCGAUUCCAAUCCUGGCUGCAGAAGCCACAACAUUAACAACAACAAGUUCACAGCCACCUCCAAGUGUGCUACGCGAUAUUGUUUUCACGCAUACUGGCACUGUGAAGUUUGCAACCAACAAAGAAGAUACUUCGCCGCCACCUGCCCACAUAUACAACGCACCUCGAGCUCAACCACCUGCGGCUAUAACAAAACAGCAACAAAAUAUGUCUUCCGUGGCCAAGCCACUACCACUACCACCACCACCACCACUACAACCACAAACACAAUCACUUAAAUAUGCUACUACAAUAACCCCUGCUCAAGAUACACGAAAGCCGGUAGAAGUUGUUAAAAACAUGUGCGAGGAACAGAGUUACCCGCAAAAAAUAACAGAUACCAACAAAACAAUCGUUGCGGCCAAAGCCACUUCUGCGACUGCAAAGAAUAUACCGAAACGAAAAACACCUGCCCCGCCUAUGUUUGUAACAAAAAACAAAAAUCACUUGCCACCCUUCAUAAAAAAGCGCAUCAACAAAAUGGGUCCUGUUCAUCGAACACAUGAUAAUGAAAUGAUGAUCAGUGGCAAUGCUGUGUCAGAGAGCGGCGUUGGCGCCAAUGCACAAAUCAAACACAAUCACCAUGCAGUGGCGGUGGUAAAGAUGUCGACAGCCGAAAUUGAGGCUGAUACCACAUUGUUGGCAUCUGCCUCAGUUUUACCAUAUUGCGUACAGAAACAUUGGCUAUAUAUAACCCGUGAGUCGCAGUUUGUUCGGGGUGUUGGUGUGGUUGCAUCCACAGUUGGUAAAAGUGUUGAUACGUUGAAAGAAAUUUUUAAGUCGGCUAACGAUCGCGAGCUGUAUAUUACACAGAGGAAAACGCUUUUGCAUCGUCAGGCUUUGCAGCUUCUCUCCACACAUUCGUUGCAGAAACUGCCAAUGCAGGCAGCAAAACGCCGAUUGAUGUGCGUGGAUCGUUUGUUGCGAAAAUACCAACGUCACGGCGAGGAAGAUCUAACCGCUGAAACGAUAUGUAAUUUCGUGGGUUGCACUAAAUACGUUCUUGAAAUGGCGGAUCAAUGCGAAGAUCACAUUGUAAACAAUAUGUCACAGCACAUCUUCUUGCCGUGUACGGCGAAGUUCGCCGAUAAUACCCAAUGCCGUAUCCCGGUAUUCGAUAUUAUACACGAUCUGCCGUUGUGUACAGAGCAUGCGCGUAAGCGUGAUGCCUAUAAUCGCGCUAUGCAUUAUCAACAGCGUUCAGGAAAUCAAAAAUAUGCAGCGGCCACGCUCACCACACCAAUGACACAACCACCAUCAAUGGAUUGUGGUGCAGGGGACUUGUUACAUCAACUACAGCAAAUUAAGUACCAACAUAAACAACAACAGCAACAGCAACAGCAAUUAAACACUCAAAGUAGUCCACAUAAUGCUGCCGCUACUAUGGGCAAGAGCAAAAAGUCGGCUAAUGUGAAAUCGACAACUGCCCGCAAACGCAAAGCAUCUAAUACACCGGCGGCUAAUACGGUUGGUCGCACGCAAAAGCGAGCACGCAAAGUGGGUAUUAACGGUACGCCGUCCGUGUCUGUUGUAGCUGCUACAAUAGCGCCUUUACAAUUGACUUCAGCAGUGCUGCAACGUAAGAGCAGUACUACUUCACUAGAAUCAAUCGCAAGUAAUUCGCAAUCCUCCAGCUCGCAGCCGCAUUAUAUCUCUUCGAAUAUGAAUGUUCAAGGUCAAUGUAAGAUUGCAAUGCCGGCAUUGGCUCCGCUCAGUGGACAUAAUGCGCCAGUUGUGAGUAAUACUUUAACAUCGGUACCUGCGCCUAAACGUAUGCUUCAUUUCAACACCAAUAGUGUUUAUAAUAGCGGUGCAACAAUAGGCACAAACACCGCUGAUAAAGUGAUGGCUCAAGAUUUCAAACCACCGGAAAUCAAUCAAUUGGUGGCACAAUUUUCUGUAGCAGUGAAUAACAGUAAUAGCAACAGCAAUAACACAAAUAACAAUGAAAAUAGCAAUAGCUUCAACACAUACAAUAAUAGUAACAGUAUAAAUAACUGUUACAAUUACAUAACCACAAAUAGUGAUUCCAACUUCACUUCGGCGCUAGGCUCGUCAUCAUCUUUACCUUCGUCAUCGGAGGAAUUAUUCCGACAGGAUUUGUUGAGCGUUUGUGAGAACAGUUCAGCAUAUGCUAGCUCUGAGGAUACCGGCUUGGGUGGUUUGAGUGAGACUGAACUGAUGGUUGGACCCAAUGAUGCAGAUGAUAUACCGUUGGGCGAUACACGUUUGCUGGAGGAGCACGACUUGGCGAAUGUGCUUAGUGGGCUGCCAGAGGAUGCAUUCAAUGAGUUAUUUACCGCAGUGCAUCAAGAAGAACGUGAGGAAGUCGAGAGAGCUCUCGAAUUGGCUGAUAAACAUCUAAAGAGUCUUCAGCAGACAAUUGGUUCGGAUAUCGAUUUCUUAGCUGAUUUUCCUGACGAUGAUGAGAUUCUAGCUGAUACCGAUGCAAUGUGCGGAAACAUGGAUAUUGUGUCGUCAGUGAUGCAUUCGCCCGACGCCACAUCCGGUAUUGAUACUUCAACACUAUUUAUCGAUAGUGGCAGCAACAGUGUAGGUGGCGGUGGUGGUGGCGGCAGCAUUAAUUCCAACAAUAUGGCCGACAUACGAGGUCUUGUACAAACGUAAAUAUUAUAUUCAAACAAUUGCGUUUGGUAUCCUUGAGAGUUCUGUAGAUGGCUAUAUCAAUAUUUUGCGCUGUAUAUAUUUUUUACGACUGUACCACAUCACGGUAGUACCCAUUACUACUUAGCAUUUGCUCAUUUA